GGAUCAAUGAUGAAAACAAGUGUCUGAGGACAGUGAUUGACUCGUAACUAUGCCAAUCUGAGAGCC
This 66-nucleotide small nucleolar RNA is filed under the name Mesocricetus auratus (golden hamster). RNAcentral describes it as "Small nucleolar RNA SNORD109A". It matches the Rfam family "Small nucleolar RNA SNORD109A". Rfam says of the family: Humans have two copies of the SNORD109 gene, SNORD109A and SNORD109B. Lineage: Eukaryota; Metazoa; Chordata; Mammalia; Rodentia; Cricetidae. The record is from Rfam by way of RNAcentral.